RNAcentral lists this transfer RNA (118 nucleotides) under Colletotrichum orbiculare MAFF 240422. RNAcentral's name for it is "tRNA-Leu for anticodon CAA". It matches the Rfam family "tRNA". Rfam says of the family: Transfer RNA (tRNA) molecules are approximately 80 nucleotides in length. The record is from Rfam by way of RNAcentral. Lineage: Eukaryota; Fungi; Ascomycota; Sordariomycetes; Glomerellales; Glomerellaceae.
GGCAACUUGGCCGAGCGGUCUAAGGCGCCAGACUCAAGAUACGAUGGUUAUCUUCCCUGGAUCUGCAGGGAGCAUUCUGGUCUCGAAAGAGGCGUGAGUUCGAAUCUCACAGUUGUCA